Long non-coding RNA from Triticum dicoccoides, 1437 nucleotides. RefSeq lists it as uncharacterized. The record is from RefSeq and is a predicted model, not a curated record. Lineage: Eukaryota; Viridiplantae; Streptophyta; Magnoliopsida; Poales; Poaceae. The transcript is spliced from 5 exons.
GCGCCAAGAAAUUUUACCUCCCGCCCCCGCAGCUCCUUCCCCCUCCCGGCGGCGACACCGGCGGCGGUGUCCGCCUCCGCCAUCCUCCCGCCGCAGUACCUCCACUCCCUCGCACGUCCUCCCCGUGGCCGGAUUCAUUGUUGGAACCCUAGAAAGGGCUCUGCCUACGGCCUACCGCGGCACGUCGAGGGCGGCGCCUUCCUCAGGCGGCGCACAUUUGCAGCCCCCGUCGGCACUCGGAGCUCCUCCUCCCCUUGAACAUCAUUUCGUGCCUCUCCCCCGAUGAGUCCGGCGCAAUCCGAGCUCCUCCGUGUCAAGUCCCAGCCGCCGGGAGCUCCUCCGCAUGAACUCGAGCGGCUCCGAGAGUUGCGGACUGCCGCCUCCCCGCAGCGGCCGCGUCAUCCAAGAUGCCUCCGCUGUGACGUCGCACGGCUGAGGAGGCGAGGAGCACGAAACUCUAGAAAGAGGGUGCUGAUUGCUGAAGGAGGUCUUGCAACUAGCAAGGUGGAAAGGCAACCUUUCGACGCAGGGAUCUCUGAAGUUCAUUUCGAAUUGAAAUAUUCUCCAACACGCGUCAUUCCCUGAUAUAUAUGUGCACUCUAGGUUUCUCACAUUCCUUGCUAUGUGGCCCACCUUUUCUUUUCAUCGUUUCUUCCUGCACAAUAGAGAGUGCAAAUAUGAUGUUAAAGAGGAUGAUAUUAUAAUAUCAUUACGGACAGUGUCCGACCUAGAAACUGUGGUUUGCUGGGGCGACGGACAGGGGAUUACUCUGCUCCGCCACUUCAGACCUGGGCCGUCCUGCUUCGCCACUUCAUACCUGGGCCGUCCGAGCCUACUUGCCCCAAUGAAGUAAAGGAGAUCAACUUUCAAGACCAGUGAUUGUGCUGAAAGCUUUAAUUUUGAAGAGGAUGUUAAGUUCCAAUCAUCGGGUGAAGACACAAAUAUUGUGAGUAUUUUUUAAUAAAAGCCGACUGAGGCAAUCGCUACCUGAUUAACGAGGCACUUUUUGUAGACAGAAUUACUGAGGUACUCAGGCAUAAUAAUAUUAUGUGAACUGUUAUCUGAUCUACAAAUUGCAAGUGGAUACCAUACUGCACUGCCCUUUGCUUCUGAUAAAACAUAUUCAUUACAUUGUUGCAAUUAGACUUCAGACCUAUGGGAGUUGUUCCACAUCCCAAAAUUAUAGUAGAGCAACAUGCUAGUCAAUUAAAGAAUAGUUUUAGUGAAGAAUAAGAUUGUAUUUGAGGAUGGCAAGUUCAUGGGCAAUAACGAUCGAAAAACCACAAGGGGAACUUAUUCUAAAAUGCACACAUCACAACAUAUUUCAAGGUGCUUCCUUGCUCAAAUAUGAAUGACACUAUGAACUUUGUAUCAGAUAAACAAAUUAAGUUAACCUUUUGCUAUCAUGAUGCUAUACAUUAACUUGAAAGGAUAGUU